AGUUAAGUGACUAAGCGCACAAGGUGGAUGCCUUGGCAAUCAGAGGCGAAGAAGGACGUGCUAAUCUGCGAAAAGCUUGGAUGAGUCGAUAAGAGGCGUUUAAUCCAAGAUGUCCGAAUGGGGAAACCCAGUAGGUGAAGAACCUACUAUCACCCAGUGAAUACAUAGCUGUGUGAGGCAAACCGGGAGAACUGAAACAUCUAAGUACCCCGAGGAAAAGAAAUCAACCGAGAUUUCGUUAGUAGCGGCGAGCGAACGCGAAAGAGCCAGUUAGUGAUAGCAGUAAAGUUAGGGGAAUGUUCUGGGAAGGACAAUCGUAGAGGGUGAUAAUCCCGUACCUUAAAACUCCAUUGUGGUACUAGGCUAACAACAAGUAGGGCGGGACACGUGAUAUCCUGUUUGAAGAUGGGGGGACCAUCCUCCAAGGCUAAAUACUCCUGAUUGACCGAUAGUGAACCAGUACUGUGAAGGAAAGGUGAAAAGAACCCCGGCGAGGGGAGUGAAAUAGAACCUGAAACCUUGUGCGUACAAGCAGUGGGAGCAAGAGUAAUCUUGUGACUGCGUACCUUUUGUAUAAUGGGUCAGCGACUUAUAUUUUGUAGCAAGGUUAACUGAAUAAGGGAGCCGUAGGGAAACCGAGUCUUAACUGGGCGUGUAGUUGCAAGGUAUAGACCCGAAACCCGGUGAUCUAGCCAUGGGCAGGUUGAAGGUUGGGUAACACUAACUGGAGGACCGAACCGACUAAUGUUGAAAAAUUAGCGGAUGACUUGUGGCUGGGGGUGAAAGGCCAAUCAAACCGGGAGAUAGCUGGUUCUCCCCGAAAUCUAUUUAGGUAGAGCCUUGAGCGGACACCUUCGGGGGUAGAGCACUGUUUCGGCUAGGGGUCCAUCCCGGAUUACCAACCCGAUGCAAACUGCGAAUACCGAAGAGUGAUACUCAGGAGACACACGGUGGGUGCUAACGUCCAUCGUGGAGAGGGAAACAACCCAGACCGCCAGCUAAGGUCCCAAAGUCUAUAUUAAGUGGGAAACGAAGUGGGAAGGCUUAGACAGCUAGGAUGUUGGCUUAGAAGCAGCCACCAUUUAAAGAAAGCGUAAUAGCUCACUAGUCGAGUCGGCCUGCGCGGAAGAUGUAACGGGGCUCAAAUAUAGCACCGAAGCUGCGGCAUCAGACGAAAGUCUGUUGGGUAGGGGAGCGUUGUGUAAGUCGAUGAAGGUGGAUUGAGAAGUCUGCUGGAGAUAUCACAAGUGCGAAUGCUGACAUAAGUAACGAUAAAACGAGUGAAAAACUCGUUCGCCGGAAGACCAAGGGUUCCUGUCCAACGUUAAUCGGGGCAGGGUGAGUCGGCCCCUAAGGCGAGGCUGAAAAGCGUAGUCGAUGGGAAACGGGUUAAUAUUCCCGUACUUGUAAUAACUGCGAUGUGGGGACGGAGAAGGUUAGGUUAGCAGACUGUUGGAUGUCUGUUUAAGCCGGUAGGUGGGAAGAUUAGGCAAAUCCGGUCUUCCUUAACACCGAGAAGUGAUGACGAGUCUCUACGGAGAUGAAGUAAUCGAUACCACGCUUCCAGGAAAAGCCACUAAGCUUCAGGUUAUUAUAAACCGUACUAUAAACCGACACAGGUGGUCAGGUAGAGAAUACUCAGGCGCUUGAGAGAACUCGGGUGAAGGAACUAGGCAAAAUAGCACCGUAACUUCGGGAGAAGGUGCGCCGGCGUAGAUUGUAGUCCCUUGCGGAUGAAGGUUGAACCGGUCGAAGAUACCAGCUGGCUGCAACUGUUUAUUAAAAACACAGCACUCUGCAAACACGAAAGUGGACGUAUAGGGUGUGAUGCCUGCCCGGUGCUGGAAGGUUAAUUGAUGGUGUUAUCGCAAGAGAAGCUCCUGAUCGAAGCCCCAGUAAACGGCGGCCGUAACUAUAACGGUCCUAAGGUAGCGAAAUUCCUUGUCGGGUAAGUUCCGACCUGCACGAAUGGCAUAAUGAUGGCCAGGCUGUCUCCACCCGAGACUCAGUGAAAUUGAAAUCGCCGUGAAGAUGCGGUGUACCCGCGGCUAGACGGAAAGACCCCGUGAACCUUUACUAUAGCUUGACACUGAACAUUGAAUUUUGAUGUGUAGGAUAGGUGGGAGCCUUUGAAGCAGUCACGCCAGUGAUUGUGGAGGCGUCCUUGAAAUACCACCCUUUA
Molecule: ribosomal RNA, 2182 nt
Filed under: Mannheimia haemolytica
Lineage: Bacteria; Pseudomonadati; Pseudomonadota; Gammaproteobacteria; Pasteurellales; Pasteurellaceae
Description: partial 23S ribosomal RNA
Rfam family: Bacterial large subunit ribosomal RNA
Source: RNAcentral